RNAcentral lists this ribosomal RNA (583 nucleotides) under uncultured Chitinophagaceae bacterium. RNAcentral's name for it is "bacterial SSU rRNA". It matches the Rfam family "Bacterial small subunit ribosomal RNA", at positions 102 to 683 of the family's 1533-position model. The record is from RNAcentral. Lineage: Bacteria; Pseudomonadati; Bacteroidota; Chitinophagia; Chitinophagales; Chitinophagaceae.
ACGGGUGCGGAACACGUACGCAACCUUCCUUUAAGUGGGGAAUAGCCCAGGGAAACUUGGAUUAAUACCCCGUAACACUAUGAAGUGGCAUCAUUUUAUAGUUAAAGCUACGGCGCUUAAAGAUGGGCGUGCGGCUGAUUAGGUAGUUGGCGGAGUAACAGCCCACCAAGCCAACGAUCAGUAACUGGUGUGAGAGCACGACCAGUCACACGGGCACUGAGACACGGGCCCGACUCCUACGGGAGGCAGCAGUAAGGAAUAUUGGUCAAUGGACGCAAGUCUGAACCAGCCAUGCCGCGUGGAGGAUGAAGGCCCUCUGGGUUGUAAACUUCUUUUAUUUGGGAAGAAACCUAUCCUUUCUAGGGUAGUUGACGGUACCAGAUGAAUAAGCACCGGCUAACUCCGUGCCAGCAGCCGCGGUAAUACGGAGGGUGCAAGCGUUAUCCGGAUUCACUGGGUUUAAAGGGUGCGUAGGUGGGCAGGUAAGUCAGUGGUGAAAUCUCUGAGCUUAACUCAGAAACUGCCGUUGAUACUAUCUGUCUUGAAUAUCGUGGAGGUGAGCGGAAUAUGUCAUGUAGCGGUG